UUUUAAAAUAUAAAACUAUAUAAUUAUUUAUAAAAACUACCGGCAAAUAAUAAUACCAAAUAAUAAAAAUCGUCAAAUAAGUCAAGUAUUUUUAAAAAAACAUUUGAUGCAAUCAUUGAAACAGGUAUUUGGUGAAAAAGGAUCAAAUUGUUGUAUUGAUAUUAU
This 165-nucleotide unclassified non-coding RNA is filed under the name Aphidius gifuensis. RNAcentral describes it as "ribonuclease P protein subunit p14, transcript variant X1". Lineage: Eukaryota; Metazoa; Arthropoda; Insecta; Hymenoptera; Braconidae. The record is from RNAcentral.